UGAAUAGCUACUUAGCACAGGUCGACCUCUUGUCUUCCAUUUUCCGUAAACAAGCGCUGUAACAUGGCUAUAGGGCCGUGUGGGAACCAUAACAAGACACCCAGGAAGUAGACAGGGACUCCAGAUGAUGGCCAGGCCGAUACCACCAGCUCAGAGUACAGCGGGGAAGACGACCAGGAAGGCCCAGAACAGCAGGCAGCCUGUUGCAGACCCCUGCUAUACACAAUCCCGUACGUCAAUGAAUCUAUACAUCUAACACACAAACAUUCAAUUAAUUGUAAUACAAACAAAGUACAGAGUACAAUUGAACAAUGCACAGAGAACACAACAAUUGCUUUGAACAUGAUGGCAUCGUGCAUGUGUCAGCGUGUAACUUGUCAUAAAACAAUAGUAGACCCAUUACUCAAUACUGUCCUGACUGCUGUCAAGCAUUCCUAUCAAAAUCAUGCUCCUCACAAAAUGUACCAGCUGGCAAUAACCUUGUCCAACAGGAUUCAGUGCACAGAUAUGGAGAGUUUAUCUUGAUAGGCCGAUACAGGUCUGGCUCUUUUGAUGAGCAGCACAAUCUGCCCAGCGACAGUGACCCCAUAGAAAAGGUUGCUUAUGAAACCCACAUAGUUGAUAAGGGUAUACAGUGCCUUUGGAAAGUAUUCCGACCCCUUGACUUUUUCCACAGUUUAUGUUACAGCCUUAUUCUAAAAUGUAUAACUUUUUUUUUUUUUAAUCCUCAGCUAUCUGCACACAAUUUCCCUUAAUGACAAAGCGAAAACAGGUUUUUAGAAAUGUUUGCACAUUUAUUAAAAUAAAAA
Salmo salar (Atlantic salmon) is the source of this 809-nucleotide non-coding RNA. The record is from RefSeq and is a predicted model, not a curated record. NCBI's taxonomy places the organism in Eukaryota, Metazoa, Chordata, Actinopteri, Salmoniformes, Salmonidae.